ACAGUGUUUAACGCUCAUUUCUAUGGAAGAGGCAGACCAUAGACAAACCGUGCUAAACUUUGUGAGUCAUCUUGCUGGUGGGAGGUAGAGAAACCGUGUCCCUGUCCCUUGCCUUGUGAAUUUUGAUGCCUUGUCAAGGAGGAACUGGCAUAGCAUCUUUCUUGCUAUACCAGCUGAAAAUGGUCAACAAAUGGAAAAGUAGGAAGUGAGCAGUGAUGAGCAGCAGGUCUUGGAAGGGUGGCUGAGAUGUCAGCCAACUGACUAAGG
This is a long non-coding RNA of Poecilia latipinna (sailfin molly), 267 nucleotides long. RefSeq lists it as uncharacterized. NCBI's taxonomy places the organism in Eukaryota, Metazoa, Chordata, Actinopteri, Cyprinodontiformes, Poeciliidae. The record is from RefSeq and is a predicted model, not a curated record. The transcript has 3 exons.